GACGAACGCUGGCGGCGUGCUUAACACAUGCAAGUCGAACGGAAAGGCCCUGCUUUUGUGGGGUGCUCGAGUGGCGAACGGGUGUGUAACACGUGAGUAACCUGCCCUUGACUUUGGGAUAACUUCAGGAAACUGGGGCUAAUACCGGAUAGGAGCUCCUGCUGCAUGGUGGGGGUUGGAAAGUUUCGGCGGUUGGGGAUGGACUCGCGGCUUAUCAGCUUGUUGGUGGGGUAGUGGCUUACCAAGGCUUUGACGGGUAGCCGGCCUGAGAGGGUGACCGGCCACAUUGGGACUGAGAUACGGCCCAGACUCCUACGGGAGGAAGCAGUGGGGAAUAUUGCACAAUGGGCGGAAGCCUGAUGCAGCAACGCCGCGUGCGGGAUGACGGCCUUCGGGUUGUAAACCGCUUUCGCCUGUGACGAAGCGUGAGUGACGGUAAUGGGUAAAGAAGCACCGGCUAACUACGUG
Molecule: ribosomal RNA, 468 nt
Filed under: uncultured bacterium
Lineage: Bacteria
Description: partial 16S ribosomal RNA
Rfam family: Bacterial small subunit ribosomal RNA
Source: RNAcentral